AUGCCUGACUCCAACGGCAACAGCAUGAAACACACGGAGGAUAAUGGCCUCUUCACCGACUCCGGCCCCGUCCUCCCCGACUCAUGCUAUUGUGUACCUAAGUAUGAUCCAGGUACAAUGGGAGCAAGCUCAUCUUCAAUCCCUAGCUACUGCAUGACUGCCGGGCCAAGGUGGAGCGGCCCGCUGGGCGCGUCCGUGUGGUCAUGGUGGCCAUGGUUGCGGUUGCUGGCGGCUCGUCGAUCUGGCAGCGGCGAAACGUGGCCGGUGGCGGCGGCGACGUUCGGCCUAGAUCCCAGGGCGGCGGCAGGCGAAUCUGCACCGGCGAUCUGGUGGCUUGGUCUCCGGAUUGGUUCGGAUCGGAGACGGUGCGAGCGCGCGGGAUCCCUCUCGAUGGCUCUCACGGUUUGGAGAGGUGGGGUGGCAGCCCUCCUCCCAGGCUUCAGUGGUGCCACCCACAGGCAGUGGCCGGUGUGCCAAGGGCUCCCACGAUGA
Molecule: ribosomal RNA, 492 nt
Filed under: Triticum aestivum (bread wheat)
Lineage: Eukaryota; Viridiplantae; Streptophyta; Magnoliopsida; Poales; Poaceae
Description: partial small subunit ribosomal RNA
Source: RNAcentral